UGAACGAGGUGCAUCAUGGUCGUUGUGCUGAGGCUCGGACUGGUCGCAGGCUUGAUCUACCUGCUGGUACUCAUCGGGGUGGCGUUGUCCAUCGGCUCGGCAGCCGAUGCGACCAGCGAGAUCCGGGAAGGCCGCUGUCCGAACAACAUCAGGGUCACGCUGCUGCCCGGCCGCUGGCUGGUCUUCCACCUGGAGAAGGUCGGUGAGGUCCAUGUCGUCGGCCCCUUCAAGCACAUACCGAAGAAGGAGGGCUCGUACACGGGCUACUUCCCCCCGUAUCCGUCACACCGCCCGCCAUACGCGCCGGAUAGGGACCCGAAGAUACGCCACGUCGGCUAUCCGCGUGAAUUCCCAAUCGACCAGGCAAUCUGGUGGGAUGGCAAGCCGGGAGAGACGUUCACUGUCGACCUCGGCUGCGAGCCCGGAGCGGCGUUCCCGCUACCCGACGGCUGGGAGCAGGGCGUCCCGGAGCCCGUCGUGUUCAGGAUCGGGUACCGCGCCAGCGUGCUUGGCGACCGUUGGGAGUCUGUUUCGGCCACCGAGGUGCUCGUCCAUGAGGACCUGCGGCUUGAGGUUCUCG
This 580-nucleotide unclassified non-coding RNA is filed under the name uncultured fungus. RNAcentral describes it as "sequence contains 18S rRNA gene, ITS1, 5.8S rRNA gene, ITS2, 28S rRNA gene". Lineage: Eukaryota; Fungi. The record is from RNAcentral.